Molecule: non-coding RNA, 72 nt
Organism: Hordeum vulgare subsp. vulgare (domesticated barley)
Lineage: Eukaryota; Viridiplantae; Streptophyta; Magnoliopsida; Poales; Poaceae
Source: Rfam
CCAAAGGUUUUUCUUGGAUUCUAUUAUUAAAAGAACUUCCCAAAACCACAAAAUAAUUAUUUUAAAAGUUAU